UGUGGGAGGGGGCUUGCUCCCGAUAGCGGUGUGUCAGUCAACAAUUGUUCAUCUGACCCACCGCAUCGGGGGCAAGCCCCCUCCCACA
This 88-nucleotide non-coding RNA is filed under the name Pseudomonas sp. GV047. Lineage: Bacteria; Pseudomonadati; Pseudomonadota; Gammaproteobacteria; Pseudomonadales; Pseudomonadaceae. The record is from RNAcentral.